CGAUCCGAGGACCCUGGGAUCACGAGCCGAAGACAGACGCUUAAUGACUGAGCCACCCAGGCGCCCCACGGCAGAGUCCACUUUUGAGAGCUCCAGAAAUCGUCAAAACCUUCCAGCGACCAGAGGGAGAAGCUGAUGCUUUGCGGUCUUUUGUUUUCCACAGACCAAACUGACCAAACAGUGAUUUGAGAAAAAAACAAAAAAACACCACCAUGUAUCUUUUUGAAAGAUCUCCGGGACAGAGCUGGCCCAGCCCGGCCCCACAGCCUGCCAACCUCAGGGGACAGUCGAACGCCGGCACCUCAACCCGGAGAAAACUAAAGAAGCAGAGUUCAGCUGCAGGAAUUCUUAAUGAUGUGCAGAGGACCUGUCUUGAGCCUGUCUGUGAAAUACUAGAAAGACACAUGUACGCAUCUUCUCCGCCUCUCCUCACGUGACCGUCCCCGACCGUCCCCGACCCAGGGUGGCCGGACUGGAACCCACGCACAGGGACCUCGCUCAGCAGCAGCUGAAGCCCAAGGUAUGAACUGAGCCCCCAGAAUCCCAUCCCGGUGACUCCCAUGAUCCUACUGGGGUCCAGAAUGACCAUUCUCGCUCUCACAUUCGACCGAUAAGCUAGCUUACGCUCAGCAUCUCAAGGGAAACUGAAUCCAGGCAUCUUAGAAAGUGGCACAAGCCGGCGGGGCGUCCAGGUGAGGGGGCUGGAGCCGUGUUGGUGAAGCCCUUGUGCGCACAGCAUACUGACCUUGCUGCCAGAAGGUGGAAGCCGAGACACGGGGGAACGGUAGACUGUCCCCCCAAAGACAGGCCGAAUGCUGCUGUUGGCCGUGGCAUUGGACAUGACGGUCGUGUUCAGCUGCGGAGAAGGGGAGAAGAGAACACACCGAACACGCUCAGUAGCCUGCCCGGCACCACAGAGGAAGGAACAGAGGAAAAAGUCCAAGAUGGGUUUCCAAGGCUCAGAGCUUUGAGGAGACCUGUGCUCCACCAUCAACACGGGGCUUGAACUCCCGGCCUGGGAUCAAGAGCCGCAGGUUCCACGGACGGAGCCAGCCGGGCGCCCCUGCAGGUGACUCUUAAACUAUCGUAUGUUGUAAAAUACGAGCCGAGAAGUAAAGCUCUACUUCGUUUAUCAAAGACAAGGUCACGUUCCUCCCUGACUUCUGCUCCAGCGAUGGAAGAAUACUGGAUAUUCCAUUUACUAAACUUGCGGUCCGGGGCCCCCAAGUUUAACCCACCCCAGACCCCGACAACAGGCACACACCUGCACUGGCCAGGCCGUGACUGUCGCUAUCAAGUUGCUACCGGGGUAAGGGUUGUCUUCCGUUCAUACGUUUAGAGGAACCUCCCGGAAGGCCCAAGAAACCCUUCCCCUCUGUGGGGCAGGAGGCAAGAGGUGGCCAAGAGCCGUCGCCUCGAGAGCCCCGUAAGGGCGGUUCGCAGAGCCCCGCGCUCACCUUGCGCACUU
This is a long non-coding RNA of Neogale vison (American mink), 1468 nucleotides long. RefSeq lists it as uncharacterized. The transcript is spliced from 5 exons. The record is from RefSeq and is a predicted model, not a curated record. Lineage: Eukaryota; Metazoa; Chordata; Mammalia; Carnivora; Mustelidae.